UCAGCGGAACGUGGGGUGUUAAAGCGGGUGUCCACAAUAGUGGACAUGGAAUUUUCUUAAUGAAGGCGCGGCCAGAUUUGAUUAGUUUGUCGUCAAGUACAGUAAACUUGUCGUUUUCUUUCCUACAAUGCCAACAAACACUCUCUCUCUCUCUUACAUCAUUAGUGGUCAGUGAACGUUUUGUGCUAACUUUGAUAGGAUCUCUGCCAGACACCGCAGCUCACCAGUCACCUCCACCACAAGUGUGGACCCCGCUACAGAGACCACCACCACUCAUAAGCUUGAUCUAACAGGGGCAGCAAGGGAGAGGGAGGCCUGUCUCCUUCAAGCAAACAGUACGUGGUGUAUCGGCAAGAUGAUCUAGUACAGAGUCCUACAUAGGAAUUCUACAGAGCUACCAGUUGCAAGGGAGCGCAGGGAGUGGGGAGAGAGGACUCUAUCCUUCAGGCAGAUGUUGGUGUAUCUUUUAUUGCCAUCAAACAGAUCAUCUUCCAUUAUUUCACAAGAGUUUGCAGAUGCAGCUUUCUUGCACCCACUUGAUGGCUCCUCGGAUUCCUCCCUUCACUCCCUCCGACCUUUACUACCCUGUGGGCCAGCACGUGUCAUCGCACUAGUGUUGCCAGAGUUUGUUUUGUUCUGCUCCAGUUCAUUCCCGUAUACAAGUUUUUAUUCUCUUUCUUUUCAGUUGUAAUAGAGCUUACUGUUAGACUAGGAUUACGGAAAUAAAGUAAUAAUUUAGACAACUCUUACCAUUUACUCCUCCGGGGUACCAGGGACCUCACAAAUAUAUUCCUCCUCGGACUCCUCGAAAGAGGUUAGGAACUGUUCCUCCAUAUAAUUUACAAAGCUAGAAACAGAAGAAGGAGAAGAAGAAAUAACGGAAGGGGGAGAUACUACAAGAGAAGAAGGUGGAGACAGAUCG
Long non-coding RNA from Portunus trituberculatus (swimming crab), 922 nucleotides. RefSeq lists it as uncharacterized. The record is from RefSeq and is a predicted model, not a curated record. NCBI's taxonomy places the organism in Eukaryota, Metazoa, Arthropoda, Malacostraca, Decapoda, Portunidae. The transcript has 4 exons.